RNAcentral lists this ribosomal RNA (2152 nucleotides) under Lactococcus lactis. RNAcentral's name for it is "partial 23S ribosomal RNA". It matches the Rfam family "Bacterial large subunit ribosomal RNA", at positions 1 to 2174 of the family's 2925-position model. Lineage: Bacteria; Bacillati; Bacillota; Bacilli; Lactobacillales; Streptococcaceae. The record is from RNAcentral.
GGCAAAGUUAAUAAGGGCGCACGGUGGAUGCCUUGGCACUAAGAGCCGAUGAAGGACGUGACUAACGACGAUAUUCUAGGGGGAGCAGUAAGUACGCAUUGAUCCCUAGGUCUCCGAAUGGGGAAACCCAGCUGCUACUAGCAGUUAUUCAUGAGUGAAUACAUAGCUCAUGUAAAGGUAACGCAGAGAACUGAAACAUCUAAGUACCUGCAGGAAGAGAAAGUAAAAACGAUUUCGUAAGUAGCGGCGAGCGAACGCGAAGAAGGGCAAACCAAGAAGCUUGCUUCUUGGGGUUGUAGGACUGCAACGUGGACUUAAGCAUUAUAGUCGAAUAACCUGGGAAGGUUAAUCAAAGAGGGUAAUAAUCCCGUAGACGAAAUAGCGCUUAUACCUAGCAGUAUCCUGAGUAGGGCUGGACACGCGAAAUCCAGUUUGAAUCCGGGAGGACCAUCUCCCAACCCUAAAUACUCCUUAGUGACCGAUAGUGAACCAGUACCGUGAGGGAAAGGUGAAAAGAACCCCGAGAGGGGAGUGAAAUAGCACCUGAAACCGUGUGCCUACAAGAAGUUCGAGCCCGUUAAUGGGUGAGAGCGUGCCUUUUGUAGAAUGAACCGGCGAGUUACGUUAUGAUGCGAGGUUAAGUUGAAGAGACGGAGCCGUAGGGAAACCGAGUCUGAAUAGGGCGACUUAGUAUCAUGAUGUAGACCCGAAACCUAGUGACCUAUCCAUGAGCAGGGUGAAGGUGUGGUAAGACGCACUGGAGGCCCGAACCAGGACACGUUGAAAAGUGUUUGGAUGACUUGUGGAUAGCGGAGAAAUUCCAAACGAACUGGGAGAUAGCUGGUUCUCUCCGAAAUAGCUUUAGGGCUAGCGUCGAAAUGUAAGUGUAUUGGAGGUAGAGCACUGUUUGGGUGAGGGGUCCGUCUAGGAUUACCAAUCUCAGAUAAACUCCGAAUGCUAAUACACAUGUUCGGCAGUCAGACUGCGAGUGCUAAGAUCCGUAGUCGAAAGGGAAACAGCCCAGACCAACAGCUAAGGUCCCAAAAUAUAUGUUAAGUGGAAAAGGAUGUGGGGUUGCACAGACAACUAGGAUGUUAGCUCAGAAGCAGCUAUCAUUCAAAGAGUGCGUAAUAGCUCACUAGUCGAGUGACCCUGCGCCGAAAAUGUACCGGGGCUAAACAUAUUACCGAAGCUUUGGAUUGAUAUUUUAUCAAUGGUAGGAGAGCGUUCUUAACCGCGAUGAAGGUAUACCGUGAGGAGUGCUGGAGCGUUAAGAAGUGAGAAUGCCGGUAUGAGUAGCGCAAGAUAAGUGAGAAUCUUAUCCACCGUAAGACUAAGGUUUCCAGGGGAAGGCUCGUCCGCCCUGGGUUAGUCGGGACCUAAGGCGAGGCCGAAAGGCGUAGUCGAUGGACAACUGGUUGAUAUUCCAGUACUAGAUAUGAUCGUGAUGGAGGGACGCAGUAGGCUAAGAGAUGCCAGUUAAUGGAUUCUGGUCUAAGCAGUGAGGUGUGAGAUGUGUCAAAUGCAUUUCUCUUUAACAUUGAGCUGUGAUGGGGAAGCAACUACGGUUGCGAACUCUCUGAUGUCACACUGCCAAGAAAAGCUUCUAGCGUAAAGUCAUAUCUACCCGUACCGCAAACCGACACAGGUAGUCGAGGCGAGUAGCCUCAGGUGAUCGAGAGAACUCUCGUUAAGGAACUCGGCAAAAUAGCCCCGUAACUUCGGGAGAAGGGGUGCUGGUGUAAAAGCCAGCCGCAGUGAAUAGGCCCAAGCAACUGUUUAUCAAAAACACAGCUCUCUGCUAAACCGCAAGGUGAUGUAUAGGGGGUGACGCCUGCCCGGUGCUGGAAGGUUAAGAGGAGUGCUUAGACGUAAGUCGAAGGUAUGAAUUGAAGCCCCAGUAAACGGCGGCCGUAACUAUAACGGUCCUAAGGUAGCGAAAUUCCUUGUCGGGUAAGUUCCGACCCGCACGAAAGGCGUAAUGAUUUGGGCACUGUCUCAACGAGAGACUCGGUGAAAUUUUAGUACCUGUGAAGAUGCAGGUUACCCGCGACAGGACGGAAAGACCCCAUGGAGCUUUACUGUAGUUUGAUAUUGAGUACCUGUAAGUCAUGUACAGGAUAGGUAGGAGCCAUUGAAAUAGGGACGCUAG